RNAcentral lists this ribosomal RNA (589 nucleotides) under Rhizocarpon geographicum. RNAcentral describes it as "partial large subunit ribosomal RNA". Lineage: Eukaryota; Fungi; Ascomycota; Lecanoromycetes; Rhizocarpales; Rhizocarpaceae. The record is from RNAcentral.
CCCAGAAUAGUGCAAAGGAUAAUAACGCAUAAAAAGAAUAAAAAAAAAAUCCAUUAUAUAUAUAAUACCUACCUGCAACACUCAUGCUAUUUAUAUCUGUAAAACUUAGCUUUUUCUCAUCGUUUAUACCAUUAGGUGUUUACUAUUUUGCACUUGUAUCGUCUGUUAGAGUUAGGUAUCAAGUGUUGUUUGUUUAAACUAUAGCAAAUUUAAACUUAGAGGCCGUUACUUUAAGUAAAUUCCAUAAGCUUUAGGCGAGGGUAUAAACCCUUUAUCGUUACUCAUGUCAGCAUUAUCACUUGGGUAAUCUAAUCUUAAGUCUUAAAAAGAAAAAAUCUGAGAUAUGCCCAAUGUUCCGCUACCCCAUAUAUAUUCUAUGUAACUUGUACAUAUAAAUAUUUAUGGACAAGGUCUCGGUAUAUUAUUUAGAUCCGCUAAAUCUUAGGUGCAUCUAACAAUACAUACAAAAUUGUAUAAAACCAGUGCUCUGUUACGAGGUCUUUAAAAAAUGGCCGCUCCUAAGCCCUUUUCCUGGUUGGCUUGGAUAAACACUACCUUUUUUCACUUAACAAUAAUUUGGACCUUUUCC